RNAcentral lists this ribosomal RNA (306 nucleotides) under uncultured bacterium. RNAcentral describes it as "partial 16S ribosomal RNA". It matches the Rfam family "Bacterial small subunit ribosomal RNA", at positions 507 to 809 of the family's 1533-position model. The record is from RNAcentral.
GACAGCAGUCGCCGCGGUAAUACGGAGGGUGCAAGCGUUAUCCGGAUUUAUUGGGUUUAAAGGGUCCGUAGGCGGACUUAUAAGUCAGUGGUGAAAGCCCAUCGCUCAACGGUGGAACGGCCAUUGAUACUGCAGGACUUGAAUUAUUGGGAAGUAACUAGAAUAUGUAGUGUAGCGGUGAAAUGCUUAGAGAUUACAUGGAAUACCAAUUGCGAAGGCAGGUUACUACCAAUUGAUUGACGCUGAUGGACGAAAGCGUGGGUAGCGAACAGGAUUAGAUACCCGUGUAGUCCCUGUCUCUUAUAA